The sequence is a non-coding RNA, 375 nucleotides long. It matches the Rfam family "Bacterial RNase P class B". From Rfam's summary of the family: Ribonuclease P (RNase P) is a ubiquitous endoribonuclease, found in archaea, bacteria and eukarya as well as chloroplasts and mitochondria. Its best characterised activity is the generation of mature 5'-ends of tRNAs by cleaving the 5'-leader elements of precursor-tRNAs. The record is from Rfam.
AGUUUUGGGUAAUUGAGCAUAGCCAUGCGCUAUGUUAGGAAGGUCCAUGCUCGCACAAGCUGCGAUGCUUGUAGUGUUUGUGCUCGCUGAAACGAUAAGGCGGGGCACCGAUUCAUUCGGUGACGGCGGAAAAAACGGCUACGGUUUUACUAUGCCUGAGUAUUCCUGAAAAGUGCCACAGGGACGACCUAACUAGGAAACUAGCUAGAUGGAACGCGGUAAACCCCUCAAGCGGUAAACCCAAACUACGGUAGGGGAGCUUUGGAUAACAAAUUGAAGUGAUUCCAGGGGAGAGCAUUUUGCUCUGAGAUAGAUGAUUACCUCGGUAUAAUCAUUGCCUGAUGGUUAUACUACGACAAAACAUGGCCUACAGAU